RNAcentral lists this ribosomal RNA (970 nucleotides) under Trigonopterus sp. 753 AR-2022a. RNAcentral describes it as "SSU rRNA". It matches the Rfam family "Eukaryotic small subunit ribosomal RNA", at positions 23 to 931 of the family's 1831-position model. The record is from RNAcentral. Lineage: Eukaryota; Metazoa; Arthropoda; Insecta; Coleoptera; Curculionidae.
GUCAUAUGCUUGUCUCAAAGAUAAAGCCAUGCAUGUCUCAGUACAAGCCGAAUUAAGGUGAAACCGCGAAAGGCUCAUUAAAUCAGUUAUGGUUCCUUAGAUCGUACCCACAAUUACUUGGAUAACUGUGGUAAUUCUAGAGCUAAUACAUGCGAACAGAGCUCCGACCGGAGACGGAAGGAGUGCUUUUAUUAGAUCAAAACCAAUCGGUGGCGGGUUCGCGCUCGUCAUCGUACAACCUGGUGACUCUGAAUAACUUUACGCUGAUCGCACGGUCAUCGCACCGGCGACGCAUCUUUCAAAUGUCUGCCUUAUCAACUGUCGAUGGUAGGUUCUGCGCCUACCAUGGUUGUAACGGGUAACGGGGAAUCAGGGUUCGAUUCCGGAGAGGGAGCCUGAGAAACGGCUACCACAUCCAAGGAAGGCAGCAGGCGCGCAAAUUACCCACUCCCGGCACGGGGAGGUAGUGACGAAAAAUAACGAUACGGGACUCAUCCGAGGCCCCGUAAUCGGAAUGAGUACACUCUAAACCCUUUAACGAGGAUCAAUUGGAGGGCAAGUCUGGUGCCAGCAGCCGCGGUAAUUCCAGCUCCAAUAGCGUAUAUUAAAGUUGUUGCGGUUAAAAAGCUCGUAGUCGAAUUUGUGUCCCGCGCCGCCGGUUCAUCGUCCGCGGUGUUAACUGGCGAGUCGCGAGACGUCCUGCCGGUGGGCUUAGCUCGCGAGGGCGGCCCAACUCAAUCCUGCCGCGGUGCUCUUCAUUGAGUGUCGAGGUGGGCCGGCACGUUUACUUUGAACAAAUUAGAGUGCUUAAAGCAGGCUAAAACUUCGCCUGAAUACUGUGUGCAUGGAAUAAUGGAAUAGGACCUCGGUUCUAUUUUGUUGGUUUUCGGAACCCCCGAGGUAAUGAUUAAUAGGAACGGAUGGGGGCAUUCGUAUUGCGACGUUAGAGGUGAAAUUCUUGGAUCGUCGC